RNAcentral lists this ribosomal RNA (498 nucleotides) under uncultured bacterium. RNAcentral describes it as "partial 16S ribosomal RNA". It matches the Rfam family "Bacterial small subunit ribosomal RNA", at positions 30 to 523 of the family's 1533-position model. The record is from RNAcentral.
AUUGAACGCUGGCGGCAGGCCUAACACAUGCAAGUCGAGCGGUUGAGGUAGCUUGCUACCGAUGCAGCGGCGGACGGGUGAGUAAUACAUGGGAAUCUGCCUGGUAGUGGGGGACAACGUUUCGAAAGGAACGCUAAUACCGCAUACGCCCUACGGGGGAAAGGGGGGGAUCUUCGGACCUCUCGCUAUCAGAUGAGCCCAUGUCGGAUUAGCUUGUUGGUGAGGUAAAGGCUCACCAAGGCGACGAUCCGUAACUGGUCUGAGAGGAUGAUCAGUCACACUGGAACGGAGACACGGUCCAGACUCCUACGGGAGGCAGCAGUGGGGAAUAUUGGACAAUGGGCGCAAGCCUGAUCCAGCCAUGCCGCGUGUGUGAAGAGGGCCUUAGGGUUGUAAGGCACUUUCAGUGGGGAGAAAGGUCAUUCACCUAAUACGUGAGUGAAUUGAUGUUACCCACAGAAGAAGCACCGGCUAACUCCGUGCCAGCAGCCGCCGUAA